Long non-coding RNA from Pelmatolapia mariae (spotted tilapia), 735 nucleotides. RefSeq lists it as uncharacterized. The record is from RefSeq and is a predicted model, not a curated record. The transcript has 6 exons. NCBI's taxonomy places the organism in Eukaryota, Metazoa, Chordata, Actinopteri, Cichliformes, Cichlidae.
GUCUUCAGAGAUAUCCACGUGAACGCUGUGAUACGUCUGACCUUCAGUCCGAAGAAGAAACCCAGACCAGUCUUAAAAGAAAGCACAAACCAAAUCCCCUGUACACAUAUACGGACUCAGAGGAUGAGUUUUUUUGUGGGGAAAGCCUACAAAAAAACGGUUUCCCCAGGCCCCUCGAGUGAAAAUACCAGCCCUCAUCACUCCGCAGUCUGCCCCCCAGCCCACUGAUAGCAACCAUCAUAAUGCCCCACCCAGCUUCCGGCACCUUUCGCCACUCCGGCACAAACCGACACAGCUUUGCGAUCUCGCCAGCAUGCAGAGUCUGAUGUCUUCCCUAUAGAUGAUUCCAGAGACUCUGUGAAGCCACUAUUACAAGGUGAGACGCUUUGCGUUGAUUGGUGCUGCUGGACCACACUGGAGGUGCGAGUCCGCCGUGUAAUGGUUUAUGCCAUUACAAAGGAGCUGGCCUCUGUACUCAACUGGGCAGGGAAAAAAUACCAAGGACCAGACAAAGCAAAAAAGGGCAUUUAAAGAGACAGCGCCGUGCAGAUGCAUAUUUGAUGGCCUGGCGCAGCAGGUAGGGGCGAACUCUAUGUCUGAGUUGGUCUUUGCUCAAGCAGUCCAGAAAUGGCUCAGAUAUGCUCCAGAUCGUACGGGUGGUGCGCAGGACGCCCAUCAUCCAUCCCCAUCCCGGAGUAAAUAAUAAAAAGUGACGUGAAACAUAGAAAUGUAAAU